UACGGAAGGCAGCAGUGGGGAAUAUUGCACAAUGGGCGCAAGCCUGAUGCAGCCAUGCCGCGUGUAUGAAGAAGGCCUUCGGGUUGUAAAGUACUUUCAGCGGGGAGGAAGGCGGUGAAGUUAAUAGCUUCACCGAUUGACGUUACCCGCAGAAGAAGCACCGGCUAACUCCGUGCCAGCAGCCGCGGUAAUACGGAGGGUGCAAGCGUUAAUCGGAAUUACUGGGCGUAAAGCGCACGCAGGCGGUCUGUCAAGUCGGAUGUGAAAUCCCCGGGCUUAACCUGGGAACUGCAUUCGAAACUGGCAGGCUAGAGUCUUGUAGAGGGGGUAGAAUUCCAGGUGUAGCGGUGAAAUGCGUAGAGAUCUGGAGGAAUACCGGUGGCGAAGGCGGCCCCUGGGACAAAGCUGACGCUCAGGGU
RNAcentral lists this ribosomal RNA (419 nucleotides) under uncultured bacterium. RNAcentral's name for it is "bacterial SSU rRNA". It matches the Rfam family "Bacterial small subunit ribosomal RNA", at positions 340 to 752 of the family's 1533-position model. The record is from RNAcentral.